CCUACGGGUGGCAGCAGUGGGGAAUAUUGGACAAUGGGGGUAACCCUGAUCCAGCCAUGCCGCGUGUGUGAAGAAGGCCCUCGGGUUGUAAAGCACUUUCAGUGAGGAAGAACGCCUGGUGGUUAAUACCCAUCAGGAAAGACAUCACUCACAGAAGAAGCACCGGCUAACUCCGUGCCAGCAGCCGCGGUAAUACGGAGGGUGCGAGCGUUAAUCGGAAUUACUGGGCGUAAAGCGCGCGUAGGUGGCUUGAUAAGCCGGUUGUGAAAGCCCCGGGCUCAACCUGGGAACGGCAUCCGGAACUGUCAAGCUAGAGUGCAGGAGAGGAAGGUAGAAUUCCCGGUGUAGCGGUGAAAUGCGUAGAGAUCGGGAGGAAUACCAGUGGCGAAGGCGGCCUUCUGGACUGACACUGACACUGAGGUGCGAAAGCGUGGGUAGCAAACAGGAUUAGAUACCCUAGUAGUC
Molecule: ribosomal RNA, 465 nt
Filed under: Vreelandella stevensii
Lineage: Bacteria; Pseudomonadati; Pseudomonadota; Gammaproteobacteria; Oceanospirillales; Halomonadaceae
Description: partial 16S ribosomal RNA
Rfam family: Bacterial small subunit ribosomal RNA
Source: RNAcentral